This 464-nucleotide ribosomal RNA is filed under the name uncultured bacterium. RNAcentral describes it as "partial 16S ribosomal RNA". It matches the Rfam family "Bacterial small subunit ribosomal RNA", at positions 338 to 795 of the family's 1533-position model. The record is from RNAcentral.
CCUACGGGAGGCAGCAGUAGGGAAUUUUCGUCAAUGGGCGCAAGCCUGAACGAGCAAUGCCGCGUGAACGAGGAAGGUCUUCGGAUCGUAAAGUUCUGUUGUAGGGGAAAACGUGCGGAGAGAGGAAAUGCUUUCUGACUGAUAUUACCUUUCGAGGAAGUCACGGCUAACUACGUGCCAGCAGCCGCGGUAAUACGUAGGUGGCGAGCGUUAUCCGGAAUGAUUGGGCGUAAAGGGUGCGUAGGCGGUUUGCUAAGUCUGGAGUGAAAUGUACGGGCUAAACCGGUGCGCGCUUUGGAAACUGGCGGACUAGAGGGCAGGAGAGGGCAGUGGAAUUCCAUGUGUAGCGGUAAAAUGCGUAGAUAUAUGGAAGAACACCAGAGGCGAAGGCGGCCGCCUGGCCUGUUACUGACGCUGAGGCACGAAAGCGUGGGGAGCAAAUAGGAUUAGAUACCCCAGUAGUC